UCUUCUCUCUCUCUCUCUCUUUCUCUCACUCCAUCGCAGGCGACCCUCUUACCGGCCAUCAUCCACCAUUGUCGCACACGAGCACCCAUCUCCUCACCGGCGAUGGUACAACCCACCUCCCCACCGGUGACGUUACCACCCAUCUCCCCACCAGCGACGGACAAUAGUAGCUACUUUGAUUUGUGUCUUCUCCAGUGCACACCAGGAAGGCAUGGUGGAAUUUAUUGGAAUGUUGAAGGUCAAAGUAUUAAAAGGCAUAAACUUAGCAGUUAGAGAUAUGCUGUCAAGUGAUCCUUACGUUGUCCUAACUCUUGGACAACAGGGCAGUGACUCUCACUUUUGUUUUAUCCUCAAGGCUGAACCUUAUGGGCAUGGACAAGGUCUACAGUUCAUACCUGUAAAUCUUGCUUAUAUGUUGAGAUUCCAAUUCUGAAUUUUAGCACAUUGCCAAAAAAUAAAACUGAAGGAAUAAAAAUUUAAAAGUAAACUAAACCAAAUUAAACUAAGCUAAGCCUUGUGUCUCAGUCAAGUGGGAUCAGUUACAUGAACUGUUUUUCUCCAAGCAUAAUAAAAAGCAACUUGAAUCCAGUAUGGAAUGAGGAACUCAUGCUUUCUGUUCCUUAGAACUUUGGGCCCAUAAAAUUGGUAAGCCUAUCUUCUCAAGGAAAUCUUCAUUAUUAUAAGUCAAUUUUCCUUCUUUCCUUUUCCCUCUUCCCUUUUCUUUUAUAAUAAUCUCAAUAUCUUUGAUGCUUCGAUGCUUCACCAAUGAUAACACAUGGCAUGCUACCUGGUUUCAAACAGUACCAUUAAGUAUGUGCAAAAAUUGUACCCACAUUCUUAGUGUUUGCUCUUAUUGUUUAGAAACCAGUAGGGGCAGCAGCACAAAUAGCUGAUGGUAUUCAAUUGAAUACCCUGACAAAAUAUUAAUACUAAUAAUAGUAUAUGUUGUUGGAAGGUAUUUGCACUAUUGUCAAAUAUUUUGAACACUCUACACCUCAUUUUUUUAUUUGUUUAUUUUUUAAUAUAUACAAACAAAGUUAGCUGGUUGGCCAUGAGUCCAUAUGCAUAUCACUAAAAGGUUAGAGGUUCGAUUUUGUCCAUCAGUGUGUCCCUUGUAUUUGUUUUAGGUAUUUCUUAUGUUUGUUGGAUUUGUUGUACAUUUAUGGUUGUAUGUUGAAUUUUCAAUUUGAUGCAAUUCUCAUAAUAUUGCAAUUUACUUUCUAUUGAUUGAUAAAAAAAAAAAUGUCUACCUUACAAAAAUCCCCAAAGCCGCCUCUAGAAACCAGAAGAAAAUUAUGACAAGACAAUCACAAUGCUCAUCCUCUUCCACUGUGUCUAGUGGCUUGCCUCAGCCUUAACAUUGAAGCUGUAUUUGAUGGACAGUCACAAAAUUUCUGGUCAUUUCUUCUUCCUUUUUUGAUGAACAAAUUAUCAAUAGUUCUUAGAAAGAUACAGUACUUGCUGAGAAAUGAGACAGAGUAGAGUUGUACUGGACAUAUUUUGUUAUUUCAGUACAUCAAAUCCAGAAAAUGAAGAAAUUGAUUCAGACUCAAGAAAAUGUUUUUGGCUAAUGUAAUGGCAUCAGAAGAAAUUUCGGGUUUGUCUCAGUUUGGUCACUUAGAAACUGUAGGAGAAGAAAAAAAUUUAAUGACUUUUUAUGUGGGUUAAUGGGUUUGUUGAUACUGAUGUGUUUAAUGAAGUUUUGUUUUAUUCACA
Molecule: non-coding RNA, 1716 nt
Organism: Camellia sinensis
Lineage: Eukaryota; Viridiplantae; Streptophyta; Magnoliopsida; Ericales; Theaceae
Source: RefSeq, a predicted model, not a curated record